RNAcentral lists this ribosomal RNA (497 nucleotides) under uncultured bacterium. Its description in RNAcentral is "partial 16S ribosomal RNA". It matches the Rfam family "Bacterial small subunit ribosomal RNA", at positions 28 to 507 of the family's 1533-position model. The record is from RNAcentral.
GAUGAACGCUGGCGGCGUGCCUAAUACAUGCAAGUCGAGCGAACAGAUGAGGAGUUUGCUCCUCUGACUAUAGCGGCGGACGUGUGAGUAACACGUGGAUAACCUCUCUAUAAGACUGGGAUAACUUCGGAAAACCGGAUCAAAUACCAGAUAAUAUAUUGAACCACAUGGUUCAAUAGAAAAAGACGGUUUUGCUGUCACUUAUAGAUGGAUCCGCGCCGCAUUAGCUAGUUGGUAAGGUAACGGCUUACCAAGGCGACGAUGCGUAGCCGACCUGAGAGGGUGAUCGGCCACCCUGGAACUGAGACACGGUCCAGACUCCUACGGGAGGCAGAAGUGGGGAAUCUUCCGCAAUGGGGGAAAGCCUGACGGAGCAACGCCGCGUGAGUGAUGAAGGUCUUCGGAUCGUAAAACUCUGUGAUUGGGAAAGAACAAAUGUGUAAGUAACUAUGCACGUCUUGACGGUACCUAAUCAGAAAGCCACGGCUAACUACGUG